Molecule: unclassified non-coding RNA, 265 nt
Filed under: Hevea brasiliensis (rubber tree)
Lineage: Eukaryota; Viridiplantae; Streptophyta; Magnoliopsida; Malpighiales; Euphorbiaceae
Source: RNAcentral
CCAAAAUAAAAAAAAUAAAAUCCAAGCCCCACACGUCCCACCCACCAAAAAGCUUCGUAACCCCAAGAAAACCCCAGAGUGACGUACACGUGCACCUCAUGCUCGAUCGUCUUCUUCCUCCUAGCCCCCCGGCGUACGUUAGUCCCAGCUCUGACCUUAACCCGUCCCUAGUUCACUCUCUUCCUUGAAAACCUAAUGUCCAGCUUCAACCCUUGAUCAUAUUUUAGCAGCUGUACUAUAAUUUGAUUUAUUUAUGUUUUUUUAA